AGGGGGCUUCUCCAGCAACCUGGCCCUUUCCUUGCCACAAGCAGACACAAUGUGUCGAGCUCUAAACCUGAACUGGUUUCUUUGUGGAGUACAAGACAUUGUGAUUCCUAAACAGAGUAUGAAAGCUGUUUCCUAUGCCUCAGAAACAGGCCAUUGUAAUGGGGUUUUGAUACUGAUGGUGUCAGUUAAUGUUUUAAAGCUAUUGCAGAUGCUCCCAUGGCUUAAGGACACUUACUCUUGGCUCUCAGCUCAUUUUCUUCAGGUGUCUGAUAGCAGGUUCCUGGCUGAGCUGUGAUGUGACUUCUGGCAGUUGACCUGACAACCUUGGAGCAGUUAAAGACCAACUGCGAGGUGCUCUAAGGGGUCAUGACUCAAAGGCCAGGCGACCUGCAAGCUGGGAAAGCUGGCUUCGCCCAUCUGUCCUUCAACUACCAUGUGCCAGUGACUUUACACCAUGCUGCAGUUCUGAAGCUUUCUGAAUAUCAACUAUACUUCCUCAUCCUUCCCCCCUGCACCAAGAAAUCACAAACGUCCCCACCUUAGAGUUACUUUGUGACUGAUAAUUUCUCAUUUCUAUAUAGGGAAAGCCAAAGUAAGCAGCAGAGCUCAAGAAAGAGCUGAUGGCUCCUAGCGCCAGUGGCUCAGUCUCUCGUACCUCCAGGGACCAUCAUGCCUUGUUAGGAAAAAAGAAAAGGAAAAAAGGACUAUUGUGUGCAGGGAGACUGUCCUGGCUUAGUAGAGAAGAGAGGAGGGGGUCUGGUGCUCACAGGUGACUGAGCAGUCCCCAGCAGAGAGGCACUUCUGCUGUGUGUCAUCCUGGUCCCUAUCAUGGUGCUGUUGGGGUCUGGCCCUUCCUUUGUGUCCUACUGCUGCAGGACGAGGGACUCGCAGUAAAAAUGGGUGUUUAAGCUCCCAAAGUAAUCACAGCCUGUGCCAGCACUUUGUUCUGUCUCAACCUACAUGAAAAAAAAUAUGUAUAUAUAGCAAACCCACCCAAAACACAGCGCUGCCACUGUGGGUCUCAUGAGAUCAGUGUAGUUCAGCAGAGAGGGGACAGAAGCAAAAUCUCCAGUGUCAUUUGAAUUUUUUCACCACCUUUGGUAUCAUUGGGAGAUGCUCACAGUGGAUUUGCCUUAAUAGAUGUGGUGCAAGGAGGCAAAACUCCCAGCUCCUUUCUGCACCCGCCUUUGCUGUGGGCCUGGGAGCUGCUCCCUGCCGGGCUUCUUCCACUGCUUGCCCAGUGGCUGCUUUGCAGGGGCCGGUGGUGGGGUGGCAAGGGACGACCGCUCAGGGAGGCGAACAGAGAGGAAUUUUAUAAGGGGUGAGAAGGAAAAAAACAGUCAUCCAGCUCUGGGCGCUAGCCAGGAGCGAGGGGGAAAGUGGAGCAGGACUGCUCCAGCCGCAGAAGCCUCGCUCCCCGUCUGCUUGCAGCUCAGCCCUGAUGGCCGGGUGUUGGGGAGCUCUGCUCCGAGGGGCGUUGCAGAAAACAUCAACUAAAAAAUAGCUGUGGAUACCCUGGGACCUGUGGGGAAUGGCCAGGCUGGGCUGGGGGCUGUAACGAGAGACCCAGCUGCUUGUUCCUGGUGGCUUGGGUGUCAAUGCGGCAGCCAGGACGCCUGGGUCUUGUCUUAAAUCCAGCCUUGGCACUUCUAGCUUGUCAUCCCUGGCACUGCUUGCCUUGAUGUGGCUUGGCCCCCUGCCCCAAGCUAUCAAGAUGCCUGCAGGUACCGCGCUGGCCUCUCACCGGGCUGCACAUCACUUGCCGAGCUUCCCCAGGGAGUGGAUGACGCUUUGAGCUCUGCAGCUGGAGGACAAGAGCCAUAGUUAAAGCAAGCUGAGGUGUGCUGCAGCACCUGAUGGGCUCCAGAGUGCGUGCCCAAAGUUUAAAUAUUGCAAAUUUAAAAAUGGGAAACAGGUUGCUCUUCUUCCGCCGGGCUAAAUUUUGCUUGAUUUUCUUUUUCCUGGGGUUGCUGGAUAAUUUUCCCCAGGGUUUGCUGGAUAACUUCCCGGGAGCCAGGCCACUCCCUCCAGGUUCUUUCCACUGUGUUUUACCAUUGCCCCGAUCGGCAGACCAGGGUUUUAACUCAUUUUGAAUUUUCAGGGACAGGAGCCCCGUGUCCAAAACACUUCUGAUUUCUCAGUUCUCAGCUCCAGGCAUCUCCUGGAGGCAGAAGGUGGCUGACGGUGCUCAGUCAGUCCCAGACUCAGCUCUGCAGCCUUGGUCAUGGAUGUGGUUAUUUGGGGCUUAUUGCAUCCAGGCCUGCUGUCUCCCUGGUCAGGAUUAUGCUAAAUGGAUGUGAGUUUUUGGACUCGGAGCAGUCCAGCUGUAUUUGCCAACAUCUUGCCAUGAACAGGGUGGGCUUUGCAUCCCCUUACUGCUCCGACGGUUUUAUAGAGUCCUGGCACCACAUUGCUCCUGGGUGCAAUUACUAUUCCCUAAUUGUAAAGCAGAAAAAUCAGCCCAGAAGUGCCUUAUAAUUGAGACAUCUGCCAUCACCAACUUCUCUGAAAAUUAACAUAAAAAUGCCAGAUCUCUCAUAAGAAAGUGUUUAAUACUUUCUGGGACUUGUUGAUACCUGCUGCCAGUGUGAAAAGCCUAAAUGGGUGGCCCAGUACAUUUUUCAGAAUUUAUCCUGAUUGCUGAAAACACCUUGGUUCUUAUCUAGCUGGGAAUGUUUGCCCUGCUUUUAACUCACCAAUUAUUUCUAGAGGGUGAAAAGAACGGGGGGAAGGGGAGGAGGAAAUUGGCAUACGUUGGUCCUCUGUAAAACUAGGGGUUGGAAGGCCACGAAGCACACCAUCCUCAUGCCCUAACAAGUCACAACUCAGUUUUCCCAUUAAAAAAAAUUACUUGCUCUUGUUUCUUUUUUUGCCCUCUGUUUUCAGGGUGUCAGAAUUGGAACGGGACACCUGUUGGUGUUAAAGAAUGAUUGCAUUUUGGAGAGGAGACCCUUGUCUGAAAAACUUGUGUUUCAACUGUCCAAAGAUUUUGCACAGAUUUUACAAGCUCAGAUACGCUAACAUAGAUAUUCCCGGUAAGAAGCCGGAUUGAACCUUUUGCUUUCCUUUGCAACAUGUUUGGGGGUACAUGCUAACUGCUACUACUGAUUGGCAGAAGCUUACAAUUCCUUCACAUCAUCCUGAAACCAAAUUCAGCCUGUUAAAGACAAACAACCCACCAAGCAGCAUUUUUCUAAAAAAGGACACUUUAGGUAUUAUUAUUUUUAAUAAAGCUGCAUAAAGUUAGAUAGGAAAAAAAAAAUCCCUCUUUGGGCUGCUUUGACAACCGCUACCUACUGUCUUUAUUCACUGUGUGUUACAAUGACUGCUAGCUGAUGGGAUUUGAGAGGUUUAAUCAAAUUUAAUUAAAACUGGUGCUCCAUA
This is a long non-coding RNA of Dromaius novaehollandiae (emu), 3384 nucleotides long. RefSeq lists it as uncharacterized. The record is from RefSeq and is a predicted model, not a curated record. NCBI's taxonomy places the organism in Eukaryota, Metazoa, Chordata, Aves, Casuariiformes, Dromaiidae. The transcript has 2 exons.